UACAGAGGGUGCGAGCGUUAAUCGGAAUUACUGGGCGUAAAGCGUGCGUAGACGGUUAUUUAAGUCGGAUGUGAAAGCCCCGGGCUCAACCUGGGAAUUGCAUUUGAGACUGAAUAGCUAGGGUACGGUAGAGGGAAGCGGAAUUUCCGGUGUAGCGGUGAAAUGCGUAGAUAUCGGAAGGAACAUCAGUGGCGAAAGCGGCUUCCUGGACCAGUACCGACGUUCAGGCACGAAAGCGUGGGGAGCAAACAGG
RNAcentral lists this ribosomal RNA (253 nucleotides) under uncultured bacterium. RNAcentral describes it as "partial 16S ribosomal RNA". It matches the Rfam family "Bacterial small subunit ribosomal RNA", at positions 524 to 776 of the family's 1533-position model. The record is from RNAcentral.